This 226-nucleotide long non-coding RNA is filed under the name Trifolium pratense (red clover). RNAcentral describes it as "long non-coding RNA (TPRA_LNC005583)". The record is from RNAcentral. Lineage: Eukaryota; Viridiplantae; Streptophyta; Magnoliopsida; Fabales; Fabaceae.
UCCUGUUCAAGCCAAUUUCAUAGGUCUGAAGUGAUCCUAUGAGUUCAUCUAAAUUUAGACUUGAAAGAUCAUGAGCCUCCUCAAUGGCUGUCACCUUCAUAUCAAACCUUUUAGGCAAAGAUCUGAGAAUUUUUCCAACUAGCUCCUCAUCUGAGAUAGGUUUUCCAAGUGCAUCAAACGAAUUUGCAAAGUCAAGCACAUUCAUUUAAAAGUCAUGAAUGCUUUC